UACAUGCAAGUCGAACGAUCCCUUCGGGGAUAGUGGCGCACGGGUGCGUAACGCGUGGGAAUCUGCCCUUGGGUUCGGAAUAACUUCUGGAAACGGAAGCUAAUACCGGAUGAUGACGUAAGUCCAAAGAUUUAUCGCCCAAGGAUGAGCCCGCGUAGGAUUAGCUAGUUGGUGAGGUAAAGGCUCACCAAGGCGACGAUCCUUAGCUGGUCUGAGAGGAUGAUCAGCCACACUGGGACUGAGACACGGCCCAGACUCCUACGGGAGGCAGCAGUAGGGAAUAUUGGACAAUGGGGGAAACCCUGAUCCAGCAAUGCCGCGCGAGUGAUGAAGGCCUUAGGGUUGUAAAGCUCUUUUACCCGGGAUGAUAAUGACAGUACCGGGAGAAUAAGCUCCGGCUAACUCCGUGCCAGCAGCCGCGGUAAUACGGAGGGAGCUAGCGUUGUUCGGAAUUACUGGGCGUAAAGCGCACGUAGGCGGCUAUUCAAGUCAGAGGUGAAAGCCCGGGGCUCAACCCCGGAACUGCCUUUGAAACUAGAUAGCUUGAAUCCAGGAGAGGUGAGUGGAAUUCCGAGUGUAGAGGUGAAAUUCGUAGAUAUUCGGAAGAACACCAGUGGCGAAGGCGGCUCACUGGACUGGUAUUGACGCUGA
This 651-nucleotide ribosomal RNA is filed under the name uncultured Alphaproteobacteria bacterium. RNAcentral's name for it is "bacterial SSU rRNA". It matches the Rfam family "Bacterial small subunit ribosomal RNA", at positions 52 to 749 of the family's 1533-position model. Lineage: Bacteria; Pseudomonadati; Pseudomonadota; Alphaproteobacteria. The record is from RNAcentral.